This 449-nucleotide ribosomal RNA is filed under the name uncultured bacterium. Its description in RNAcentral is "partial 16S ribosomal RNA". It matches the Rfam family "Bacterial small subunit ribosomal RNA", at positions 29 to 523 of the family's 1533-position model. The record is from RNAcentral.
AGCGAACGCUGGCGGCAGGCUUAACACAUGCAGGUCGAGCGGGCAUAGCAAUAUGUCAGCGGCAGACGGGUGAGUAACGCGUGGGAACGUACCUUUUGGUUCGGAACAACACAGGGAAACUUGUGCUAAUACCGGAUAAGCCCUUACGGGGAAAGAUUUAUCGCCGAAAGAUCGGCCCGCGUCUGAUUAGCUAGUUGGUGAGGUAAUGGCUCACCAAGGCGACGAUCAGUAGCUGGUCUGAGAGGAUGAUCAGCCACAUUGGGACUGAGACACGGCCCAAACUCCUACGGGAGGCAGCAGUGGAAUAUUGGACAGUGGGCGCAAGCCUGAUCCAGCCAUGCCGCGUGAGUGAUGAAGGCCCUAGGGUUGUAAAGCUCUUUUGUGCGGGAAGAUAAUGACGGUACCGCAAGAAUAAGCCCCGGCUAACUUCGUGCCAGCCGCCGCCGUAA